This 396-nucleotide ribosomal RNA is filed under the name uncultured bacterium. RNAcentral describes it as "bacterial SSU rRNA". It matches the Rfam family "Bacterial small subunit ribosomal RNA", at positions 358 to 771 of the family's 1533-position model. The record is from RNAcentral.
GGAAUAUUGGACAAUGGGCGAAAGCCUGAUCCAGCAAUGCCGCGUGAGUGAUGAAGGCCUUAGGGUUGUAAAGCUCUUUUACCCGGGAUGAUAAUGACAGUACCGGGAGGAUAAGCCCCGGCUAACUCCGUGCCAGCAGCCGCGGUAAUAAGGCGGGGGCUAGCGUUGUUCGGAAUUACUGGGCGUAAAGCGUACGUAGGCGGCUUUGUAAGUUAGAGGUGAAAGCCCGGGGCUCAACCCCGGAAUUGCCUUUAAGACUGCAUCGCUUGAAUCAUGGAGAGGUGAGUGGAAUCCCGAGUGUAGAGGUGAAAUUCGUAGAUAUUCGGAAGAACACCAGUGGCGAAGGCGACUCACUGGACAUGUAUUGACGCUGAGGUACGAAAGCGUGGGGAGCAA